AGUGAACGCUGGCGGUAGGCCUAACACAUGCAAGUCGAACGGCAGCACAGUAAGAGCUUGCUCUUACGGGUGGCGAGUGGCGGACGGGUGAGGAAUACAUCGGAAUCUACUUUUUCGUGGGGGAUAACGUAGGGAAACUUACGCUAAUACCGCAUACGACCUACGGGUGAAAGCAGGGGAUCUUCGGCCCUUGCGCGAUUGAAUGAGCCGAUGGCGGAUUAGCUAGUUGGCGGGGUAAAGGCCCACCAAGGCGACGAUCCGUAGCUGGUCUGAGAGGAUGAUCAGCCACACUGGAACUGAGACACGGUCCAGACUCCUACGGGAGGCAGCAGUGGGGAAUAUUGGACAAUGGGCGCAAGCCUGAUCCAGCCAUACCGCGUGGGUGAAGAAGGCCUUCGGGUUGUAAAGCCCUUUUGUUGGGAAAGAAAAGCAGCAGGUUAAUACCCCGCUGUUCUGACGGUACCCAAAGAAUAAGCACCGGCUAACUUCGUG
Molecule: ribosomal RNA, 492 nt
Filed under: uncultured bacterium
Lineage: Bacteria
Description: partial 16S ribosomal RNA
Rfam family: Bacterial small subunit ribosomal RNA
Source: RNAcentral